CCUACGGGCGGCAGCAGUGGGGAAUAUUGGACAAUGGGGGGAACCCUGAUCCAGCCAUGCCGCGUGUGUGAAGAAGGCCCUCGGGUUGUAAAGCACUUUCAGUGAGGAAGAACGCCUGGUGGUUAAUACCCAUCAGGAAAGACAUCACUCACAGAAGAAGCACCGGCUAACUCCGUGCCAGCAGCCGCGGUAAUACGGAGGGUGCGAGCGUUAAUCGGAAUUACUGGGCGUAAAGCGCGCGUAGGUGGCUUGAUAAGCCGGUUGGGAAAGCCCCGGGCUCAACCUGGGAACGGCAUCCGGAACUGUCAAGCUAGAGUGCAGGAGAGGAAGGUAGAAUUCCCGGUGUAGCGGUGAAAUGCGUAGAGAUCGGGAGGAAUACCAGUGGCGAAGGCGGCCUUCUGGACUGACACUGACACUGAGGUGCGAAAGCGUGGGUAGCAAACAGGAUUAGAUACCCGUGUAGUC
RNAcentral lists this ribosomal RNA (465 nucleotides) under Vreelandella stevensii. RNAcentral describes it as "partial 16S ribosomal RNA". It matches the Rfam family "Bacterial small subunit ribosomal RNA", at positions 338 to 795 of the family's 1533-position model. The record is from RNAcentral. Lineage: Bacteria; Pseudomonadati; Pseudomonadota; Gammaproteobacteria; Oceanospirillales; Halomonadaceae.